AUAGCGUAUAUUAAAGUUGUUGCAGUUAAAACGCUCGUAGUUGAACUUCAGACCUGGCUGGGCGGUCCGCUUAACGGCGUGUACUGUCUGGCUGGGCCUUACCUCUUGGUGAGCCGGCGUGCCCUUUAUUGGUGUGCGUCGGGGAACCAGGACUUUUACCUUGAGAAAAUUAGAGUGUUCAAAGCAGGCCUAUGCCUGAAUACAUUAGCAUGGAAUAAUAAAAUAGGACGUGCGGUUCUAUUUUGUUGGUUUCUAGAGUCGCCGUAAUGAUUAAUAGGGAUAGUUGGGGGCAUUAGUAUUCAGUUGCUAGAGGUGAAAUUCUUGGAUUUACUGAAGACUAACUACUG
Molecule: ribosomal RNA, 347 nt
Filed under: uncultured eukaryote
Lineage: Eukaryota
Description: SSU rRNA
Rfam family: Eukaryotic small subunit ribosomal RNA
Source: RNAcentral